Molecule: ribosomal RNA, 380 nt
Filed under: uncultured cyanobacterium
Lineage: Bacteria; Bacillati; Cyanobacteriota
Description: bacterial SSU rRNA
Rfam family: Bacterial small subunit ribosomal RNA
Source: RNAcentral
GGCAACCCUGACGGAGCAAUACCGCGUGAGGGAAGAAGGCUUUUGGGUCGUAAACCUCUUUUGUUAGGGAAGAACACAAUGACGGUACCUAACAAAUCAGCAUCGGCUAACUCCGUGCCAGCAGCCGCGGUAAGACGGAGGAUGCAAGCGUUAUCCGGAAUCAUUGGGCGUAAAGCGUCCGCAGGUGGGAGUUCAAGUCGAUUGUCAAAGGCAGUAGCUUAACUACUGAAAGGCAGUGGAAACUGAACAACUAGAGUGCGGUAGGGGUAGAGGGAAUUCCCGGUGUAGCGGUGAAAUGCGUAGAGAUCGGGAAGAACACCAGUGGCGAAAGCGCUCUGCUGGACCGGCACUGACACUGAGGGACGAAAGCUAGGGGAGCG